Molecule: transfer RNA, 89 nt
Filed under: Ignavibacteriota bacterium
Lineage: Bacteria; Pseudomonadati; Ignavibacteriota
Description: Ignavibacteriae bacterium tRNA-Leu
Rfam family: tRNA
About the family: Transfer RNA (tRNA) molecules are approximately 80 nucleotides in length. Their secondary structure includes four short double-helical elements and three loops (D, anti-codon, and T loops).
Source: RNAcentral
GCUUGGAUGGCGAAACUGGCAGACGCACGGGACUUAAAAUCCCGGGCCUCGUAAGGGGCGUGUGGGUUCGAUUCCCACUCCAAGCACAA